This 273-nucleotide long non-coding RNA is filed under the name Chrysemys picta bellii (western painted turtle). Its description in RNAcentral is "lncRNA (ENSCPBG00000017832.1)". The record is from RNAcentral. Lineage: Eukaryota; Metazoa; Chordata; Testudines; Emydidae.
UGGAAAUCAGUCAGUUUUGCUAUCCCGUUCUCUAGCCUGAUGCUGCUGUGUUUGGGUUGCAAGGGGCACGUUGAUGUUCUCUCUCUCUCUCUCUCUCUGUCUGUCCAGAACGUCCAUUUAGAGUGACAUUCGUUGGAAAUAAAUGAAGUUAUGAUGAGACGCCAUGUCCUCGGUGGGUGUAAAUCAGCAGUGUGGUGGAGCUGUCCAUUUAUGCCAGGUGGAUUGUUCCGAGACUUGGUGCCAGAGGAGGAGAGGAACGUCAGACGAGUCGCC